RNAcentral lists this long non-coding RNA (1117 nucleotides) under Sinocyclocheilus grahami. RNAcentral's name for it is "lncRNA (ENSSGRG00000030824.1)". The record is from RNAcentral. Lineage: Eukaryota; Metazoa; Chordata; Actinopteri; Cypriniformes; Cyprinidae.
GCAUGCUCAAAUAAAAUAAAGCAUUAAGCCCCAAGAAGCCGUGGUUUACAGUGAAUUUAUAACAGCUAAGGGGCGUUAGGCACGACGUGAAGCAAACCCUCUUAGCUGUCUUCACAGGGCUUAUUGCUUUUAUAAAACGGUUAUUCCAUAUACGUAGUAAGGUUUCACAGAAUAAAACAGAGCAAAUAAAGUGUAAUGAUAUAAAUAAAAACAGUAUUCUUCCACCAAACAAUGUAGUUCCUCAGAAACAGUUGUGGUUCCAACAAAGUGGUUGCAGAGCAACACACAGAAGUACACAAAAGGUGUGUGUUUGUAGAGUAAUUUACAACAGCUUUGAACGCGGCUCAACCAAUCAGAAUCAAGGACCGAAACUAUCCGUUUUAUAAAUGUGCGAUUGUGUCCUGUUAGCUGGCCCACUCCCAUCACAAAAAGCAUUAGUUUGUUUCUUGAUGACAUUUUGUAAAUUAAAAAAAAAAAAAUGUUCAUCUUCAGAAUGUACUGUUCUGAUAGAUGAGAUAAACACAGGGAAGAUAAAUAAUUUGGCACCUUUAAUAUGACUAUUUAGUAUAUGUUAGCUUUCCACUUUUAAUAGUCUGCAUGCCUGACCAUAAAACUUUUUUAAAAAUUUUAAAUUUGGUCCAGUUUGGUAAAAAUUUGAUAAUUUCUGAAAUUGGCCUAGUCUUAUUGUCUGAUGAGUCAGUGGACAGUCUCCACAGUGUUUUUUUUUAUGCACAUUAAAACUGGAUAUCCUUAAACUCUUACUUUGGAAACAUUUUGUCUUCCUCUCAAAGGACGUUUUGGGAAGAUGUCAUUUGUAGGCCUUUAUUGAACAAGCUAGCGUUUCAUUGUUUUGUGGAAAUAAGUGUCACUUGUAAAUUGAAUUGCUUAUGUUGAUGCUUCUUUUUUUAAACCAUUUAUCAAGGGAUCAUGGAAGACGGUUCUGUACAUUUUGUUUUGUACAAUCCUGUGUUUAUGUAGUAUGGCUGAUAUUUCAGGGCUGUUUGUGUGCAAGAAGAAGAACUGCUGAAGUUUUGAGUUCCCACUGUUACGCAGAGUCCAAUGAAAAGAAAGAGUGAUGUUUCUGUGAAACUUCUUGUGAACCGUUAUAAAUAAAGAG